GCGCUCGUGGCGUAAUUGGUAGCCGCGCCAGACUUAGGAUCUGGUGACUUCCGUCGUGGGGGUUCGAGUCCCCCCGAGCGCACAA
This 85-nucleotide transfer RNA is filed under the name Muribaculum intestinale. RNAcentral's name for it is "tRNA-Leu". It matches the Rfam family "tRNA". Rfam says of the family: Transfer RNA (tRNA) molecules are approximately 80 nucleotides in length. Their secondary structure includes four short double-helical elements and three loops (D, anti-codon, and T loops). The record is from RNAcentral. Lineage: Bacteria; Pseudomonadati; Bacteroidota; Bacteroidia; Bacteroidales; Muribaculaceae. RNAcentral also lists the same sequence under 3 other names.